This is a long non-coding RNA of Tupaia belangeri chinensis (Chinese tree shrew), 2073 nucleotides long. RefSeq lists it as uncharacterized. NCBI's taxonomy places the organism in Eukaryota, Metazoa, Chordata, Mammalia, Scandentia, Tupaiidae. The record is from RefSeq and is a predicted model, not a curated record. The transcript is spliced from 2 exons.
UAAUCUUAAAGGUGUACACACCAUGAUGUCAUCCCCGGAGGGGCCGGGAGGGAGAGAAACAGGGCCCGAGGCGGCCAGUCCCAGCGGGUCAGGACGUUGGUCCCCAGAAUUCCUUCAGACCUGGGCUCCGAUCUCUGCGACGCUGGCCGUUUGCUGUGGGACCGCCGUGGCUAUGUCGCUCCCCUCGGUGGGUGCUGUGCACCCGACACGUGAUGCCAGCCCGGCAGCUAGAGCAAGCUCACACCACCCGUGUUGAAUGAUCGCACUGUCCCUGUUUCCGACUUCCACGGGGAAAUAAACAGCUACAGAUACAGGCAUCUUUCUUUCUUGGCUUUGUCCCUAAGAAAACUAUUCUUCAGUCAAACGAGACUUUUCUGGAGGGCCUCAAUGUGGCAAACCCCUGCGUGGGGAAGGGGUUUAACACCCUGGCUCACAGGCCGACUGAAGAGGAGUGGCUUGAGCAGGGAGAAGUGAGUGGAUUGUUUUCACUGGCGGCUCCCUCAGGCUGCCUGUAUUUUUCCACUGCGUGGAUCACACUGGAGAUUAAUUUGGGUUCGGCCAGCGCCCGCCAAGCAGAAAGUGAAGGCUCGAGCCCACAGGGAACUCAGCCGUGGCAUCUACACCGACCCGACGUCGCUGGUACAUUUCCACGACGGGAGACACUUGCGUAGAGCACUUCUAGGCUUUGAUAAAACACUGGGUACGGUUUGUUUUGAAAGGCAGGAACAUACUUGUAAUUGGAAACCCCGCUGAGGAAACCGUAAGUUCUUAGAACACGGGGAUCUUUCAGGCCCCGGAGUCAGAUGGCAGCCUGCGGACCAGGGGGAAAGGUCAAGGACACUGACUCUUCCAAGACCUUGAAUGUCGUUGUUGGGCUGGGCCAGGACCGUGGCACAGCCUGCCCCAGAAGUGGGCUGGGAUGUUUGCUUUUCUGCUUCCUGCAGCAUUUCAUCCAGAAACAAGGGGCAGGGAGGGGACAGGCGCUGAGAGGCCGCGAGCUCGGCUGUGACUUCAUCCAGCGUUAGACUAUAGACAGGACUGGGCUUGGGAGUUAUUACACUUUGUCUUAGCCUGCUUGGCAAGAGUACAGAUUCAGAAUAUUGCUCUAGAGCAAGCCAGAUUAAACUGCCCGUCUUCAACAAAAUUAUGAAACCAGAGUAGCAAGUGGCCUGAAGGUGACAGCCACCAGAAACGCUGUGUCUGUAUGCAAAGGUGGCGACAGGGACUUCCUUCAAAACAGUAAUGAUGGUCAGGCCCGGGUGGGGGCACUGCAGGUGUUUUCUCUACAUCGCAUUUGCUUACAGCGCUUCGAUUUUGAAGUCAGGUAAUGCACUGUUUUUACAAAAUAGAGGUCUUGACACAGGAAAGAGCACGUGACAGGCAAGUGUAAAGUGCAAAGCUCAUGGAACUAGGAAACAAACAGCCCGGGCAUCCAAGUCCCUUACUCGGGCCACUGGGAGGCUCUAUCUUCAUGUACAAAAAGCCUCUGGGGGAAGGGAGUACAAGCUGCCUUGCGCACAGUAGGCACACACGUCGAGCCCUCUAGAAAACGUCCAUAACUCUCACACAUCUCCACGAGGACAUGGGAACUUUCUAUUAUCCCGAGGAAGGUAUUAAGGGAGAAACGUGAUCGAGACAAUGGCCACUUCUUCCUGCUUUGGCCCUGGGACGCCUGUGUUCCCUGGGUGCCACGGCAGGUGGUGGGCACUCUCACCCAGAACCGGGUUCGGCUACCGCACCUGACUUCUCGUGACCUCACUCAUCUCCUUCCUUGUGGCCCAGUCAUCUUGGGGGAAGGAAAGGCCACCAAGUGGUUUGGGAUCCGAGCUCAGGACACACUUUCUGAGAUUCGCUCCUAUUUUCUUCCCUACUUCCUGACUGGCAAAGGGAUUGGAGAGGGUGGUCAAGGAAAUAAAGCACCGAGGUGUCAGUAGAAAUGCCAUAAUUUAUUCUGUUGUAUAAAAAAGUCAUCCUCAUGUAACAAAAUGUCUUCUUAGAAGAAGAAAUAUAUUAUUUCAGGUCAUAAAUAAUCAGCAAACAUACAACUGUUGGCAACUAAAAAAAAAAAAAAAA